This 1330-nucleotide long non-coding RNA is filed under the name Brassica napus (rape). RNAcentral's name for it is "long non-coding RNA (BNAP_LNC003242)". Lineage: Eukaryota; Viridiplantae; Streptophyta; Magnoliopsida; Brassicales; Brassicaceae. The record is from RNAcentral.
CUGUCUUAAACUAAGAAACCUUAUGCAAUUAAGUCCAAACACCCAAAAGAUAGAUUUGUUGUUCGCGAAUUACAAUUUUUUUGUCUCCCUGAUAUCCUUAGCUCCUUCCAUGGCCGUCGUUUUCUCUCCUGCCCUCUUUUUUCCUUUUUCUCUGCCACUCUCUCUAGUUGUCCAACUUUUCUAAAAUGUAUUUAGUACACGAUAUAAAAAGCAAAAGUUAUGUUUAAAACAAUCAAUAUUUUUUUAAUAGUUAUAUAUUUUUUAAUGGUGGAGUAGUUGGCUCUGUCUCUCUGGUUUAGGCUCAUGGUUGUUCCUUCUCCAAUAAAGAUCGACUUGGUGGGGGUUUGUGGUCUUGGUCUCGAGUGUAGCUGUCUGUCCAUGAAGUUCACUGUCUGGGUGUGCUUAGCAAGCUGUUUUUGACAACCCGAUCAUUAAGAACUGGUCACCAGGUACACCUAACUCUACCGGGUCGAGCUCUCGCUAUAACUGCGGGUCGAUUCUGCGGCAAGCGAAUGUUCCUCCCCACUGUAUCCUUUGUGUACUCCAAUUUGUGUAAGUUUUAUUUAUGUUGAUCUGCUACUAGUAUUCUCUGUCAUUAUCUGUAAAAAAUUUAAAACUGGUAAUGAAAUCUUAAUUUUUUUUACCAACAAAAAAACUCAAAAAUCAUCAUUAAAAUAAAUAUAUUCAAAUAUAGCAUUACAAAUUUCGAAAUAUCAUUUAAUUAUAUAUUUUUAAAUUAUACAAUUUGAUUACUAAUUUUUUUCAAAAAUAUAUACAAUUUUUUUAUUGAAAAUAAUAAAAAAAUUAAUCGUAAAAUCAUUAGUUUUUUAUAUAUCUACAAAUUUUAUAAAUAUUGUAAUAUUAAUUUUUGGUAAUUAUUCAAUUUCUUACAAAUUUAUUUAAUAUAUUUAAUUAAAAUAAAUAGAUAGAAACAUCUAUCUAAAAUUAUAAUUUUAAAUAUAUACAUGCAUAUCCUUAAAUAUAAUUUAAAAUAAACAAAAUUAUUUUUAUCUUAAUUUUUAAGCUUAAUUAAAUCAAACUUAUAUUAAAUAUUGAUAAGAAAAAAAAUUACAAUAUUAAUAAAAUUUUAUUUUUAAUUUAUAUUUAUCUGUUAAAACAUUUUAAUUUUUUUACUGUACAUGGUGCAGAAAAACACCUAGUAAUUCAUGCUAAAAUAAGUAUUGUUACAUAAUUCGUGAAGAAAAAGACAAGAUAUAAAAAACGAUUUGAAAUAGGUUUUUCUCCAGCGUGUGCAUAGAUGGUGUACCUCAUCUGAUCUUAUCUCCAUGAGUCCAUGAUCGAGUGAUACCGAUUAGGUGUAGGCACGAAG